Molecule: RNA transcript, 7957 nt
Organism: Thrips palmi
Lineage: Eukaryota; Metazoa; Arthropoda; Insecta; Thysanoptera; Thripidae
Gene: htk
Gene name: AT-rich interactive domain-containing protein 4B
Exons: 22
Source: RefSeq, a predicted model, not a curated record
UUAUCAACGUUUGGCUGAAAGUGGAGCCAGUGCUCGAUAGAUAGGGACACAGGGCAAGCCGUCGGCAAGGGCCAACGCUUAUGCUGAAGUUUGGAUAACAAAUGUUUUGAUUUGGAAAUAGCGGCAAUUGGACCAGAAUUUGGCCAAUUCCGGGUGUGGGUGUUUGGGGUUUCUGAAACAGGAUUUCUGAUUCUUAUUCUUACCAUGGCUGCGCACCUGUAAUCAACUUCAUGUUGCGGUGGCCGAAUAACCAGGGCGUUAUGGGAGACGAUCCACCUUAUUUAGUUGUAGGCACUGAAGUCAGUGCUAAAUACAAGGGUGCCUUUUGUGAAGCUAAAGUUCGCAAAGUGGUUCGAACUGUAAAAUGCAAGGUAAAUUUUAAAGUUGGGGGUUCAACUGUUGUAACUGAUGAUCAAAUACGAGGAAAUCUAAGGAUUGGAUCGGUUGUUGAAGUAAAACACCCUGAUAGAAAAGAGUUUGUUGAAGCAUCCAUUACUAAAAUCCAAGAUUGUAGCCAGUAUACUGUUGUUUUUGAUGAUGGUGACAUCACCACACUCCGACGUACUGCUCUGUGUCUAAAAAGUGGGAGACAUUUUGCUGAAAGUGAGACGCUUGAUCAGUUACCCUUGACUCAUCCAGAACACUUUGGAAAUCCUGUUGUUGGAAGCAGGAGAGGGGGAAGGAGGAGUCGAAAUCCAAUGAGUGAUGAAAGUAGUGAGGAAGAAGAAGAACCACCCAAAGGAAAAUCAAAAGAAGAAAAAGAGGCAGACAUUGGUAAAGUUGUAUGUGUGGAAUUAGGAGACAAAAAAAAGCAAAAGGACAAUUGGUUCCCCGGGCUUGUAGUUCAUCCAGCUGCCCAAGAAGUUGUACGCAUCAGAGUUAAAGAUGAAUAUUUGGUUCGAUCUUUUAAGGAUGGAAGAUAUUACACUGUUCCCAAAAAAGAAGCAACUGAAUUUACCCGAGAAAUAGGGUUAAAGGUUGACAACAACAUUUUAAAAUCAGCUGUUGAUAAGGCAUUGCAGUAUUUAGACAAGGAUGAACUGCCCCCUCAUUGGGACAGAGAACUGCUGUUUGGUUUAGAUGAUGCCUCCACAGCAUCAGACAGCGAUGCCGCUUUUGAUUCAGAUAGCUCUGAUGAUGAGCCAAGAGAAGAAAAGGAUCACUUUGUGGCCCAACUUUACAAGUUCAUGGAUGAUCGAGGCACGCCCAUCAAUCGGGGACCAUCCAUAACUGGACGAGAUGUUGACUUGUACAAAUUGUUCAAGGUUGUACACAAAAUUGGAGGCUGUAACAGGGUAACGAAUCAUAACCAAUGGAAAAUAGUCUCUCACAAGAUUGGCUUUGGCCAGUACUCAAAUACAGCCAACUUAGUCAAAGGGGCCUAUAAAAAGUACCUUCAUAGUUUUGAAGACUUCUACAGAAAGCUGGGUUGCACAAUGGUCAAUCACCCCCGCGGUAAUAGACCACGCCAUAAAGGUGGAAGGAGUUUAAUAAGGGACAAAGACAGGUCCACUCCUGUUAAUGUGCCUCGAGGGGACAACAAAGACAAGGGUUCUGACACUGUUGAUGAGGAUGAUGAUAUGUUGGAGAAAAGUGAAGAAGGUGCUGAGUUGAGUUUAGAUGAGAAAGAUGAGGAAAUAAGUAAACCUAAAGAAGUGAAAGAGCCAGAAGUUGUUGCGAAAAUGCCAACUGGACCUUCACCACCAGAACGUAAGCUGUUAGAUCCUCAGUUGAAAAUCAGCACUCCUAAAGGCAAGCCAAAAAAGAUGACAGAAGGUUCUUGUAGCAAGAAUGUGUUGGAUUCAAAGAAGAAAAUUGUUGUUACCAAAAUUAAGGGAGCAAGAGCAAUCGAUGAUGAUCAUGAUGAUGAAAUGGAAAUGCUAGAUGUUGAGGAUCUAGAUGAAGAGGAUGAGGAUAAGCUCACAACUACAAGGUCCAAGUCUAAGGACGAUUCCUCAAGGCUUAAAGUAGAAAAAAGUGUUGCUGAAGGGGAUAAAAAAGCGAGAUCAAUCGAAGGAAGUGAAAGGCGAAUAAAACCAUCUUUAACUGCUACAGCUGAAAAACGUUUGGGGCGUCCUUCACUUACAACUGUUAGUGACAAAAAAGCUAAAGGGAGUCAAGACAAUGAUCGCAAAACUGUACGAUCAUUAGCCGCAGAAUUUGAAAAGAAAUCUCGAGGAUUGGAAGUUGACAAGAAGGAAGCAUCUAGUUCCGAUAGUGACAAAAAACCCCGUUCUUAUUCUGUCAGUGACAGUGAAAAGAAGAUUCGCCCUUCGUUAACUGCCACAUUAGAAAGAAAAAAAUCAUCAGUUCUUGAAAUUGAUAAGAAAAGUCGUCAGAGUGGCACUGAUUCUGAAAAGAAAAUUCGCCCUUCUUUAUCGGUGGACCUGGAACGCAAAAAAGUGAGGCCAUCCCUCACUGCUGAUCCCAUGAAAAAAGUGUCUCGACUUGACAGUGACAGAAAAAAAGAAAAGUCCUCUCGAUCGUCAGAUGCAGAUAAUGAUAUGGAGAGGAAAUCAAAGUUGCAUGACUCUGAUCGGAAAAACAGUUCUUCUGAGUCUUCUAGACAUUCGUCUGGAGACUCUGAUAAGAGGGUUCCAAAAUCAGACUCAGGAGACUCUGAGAAAAGGGGAAACUCAAAAACAAAGAAGGGAGAUGAUGAUAAGAAGAAGCUACAAGCACGUAAACGGAAGGAUAAUGAUGAUCCAGCAGGUUCGACAGAUGAUAAUUUAGACUUGCUUCCAAAUUACAAGAAUGUUUGCAUUGGUGACAAACUCAAAGUUUACUAUGGACCUACACAUGAAUCAAAGGUUACAUAUGAGGCUAAAGUGCUCGAAGUGGAAGGGGGAGGUCAAGAGGAAUCGUAUCUUGUACAUUAUACAGGCUGGAACAAUCGUUAUGACGAAUGGAUCAAACGCUCAAGAAUAGCUGAUAACUUGAGUUGGUCUCCUGCUCGAGGCAAACGUCGUCACCAGGCUCAAGUUCCAGGAGCCAAGAAAUCAUCUGUUAAGGGGUCAAAGCGUAUCUUAACUCCAGCUCGAGAUGGAGCAUCUCCUUUCCAGAAGGACCAAAGCCAAGCAGCUCCAGCUUUCCCUGGUGUAGAUAAAUGUCGUGACUCUCAGCCGCCUCGUUGUUCUACACCCUCAUCUGUGACUUCUUCAUCCAGCCGAACUAAGUCCCCUGCCAUGAGACCAGGCUCUGCCCGAGUUACUCGUAACACCAUUGGGGACAUGUCACAAGUGGACCAGCCCACAAGACGAACAAGAACCAGACGCAUUAGUGGUCAAACAGAUGUACCAUCAGAAUCAGAAAGUGAUGCCAGUGAAUCGGAGAGUGAAGCUGAACCCUCAGUUACCAGGAAAAGUUCACGUCGUCUUGCUUUGGAAAAAGAAGAAGAAACUUCAAGGAAGGACAGUUCUACAAAGAAAAAACAACAGAAACGAGACACUGAGAUUGACCCUGAUGAAGAUGAGAAAGAUGGUGAUAAGGACGAUUUGAAGGAUGAUGUUAAGGAUGAAGAUGAAGCUUCUAGUGAAACACUCAGUGAAGGAAAGUUUCGUCUGAAUAGGCCUAGAAAGUCUAAAGGACGCAAAAGUGAUGUCAAGGUUGAAGUAGAAGAGGAUGAAGAAACAUCCUCAACACAGGUAACCAGAGGGAGAGACUUUGAUUUGAACCAAAUAAGAUCCGAGUUGAAAGGAAUAGAUAAAUCUGUUCGGGCAUCUUCUCCGACAAGUGAUGAAAAAGAUCAAAAGACUGACUCUGAUACAGAGCAAGACGCAGAUGUUGAUGUGGAUACCCCUAGUCUUGAAGAGAAACCAUGUUCACUAUUUGAAACUGAAGAUUCUGCCCUAGACACUGAAGAUAUUUAUGAGUUCAAAGAACCUGAACCAUUUGAAUUUGAAGUUAGAUCCAAGCGGGAAUCUUCUGUGGAGCGCACUGGUAAGCUGCAAAAACGGCCCCUUCCUCGUCUAUUCGACGAUAUUUCGGAGCCUGCUGUUAAAAGAAAGGCUGUGCGUGCCGCUGGUGCCGAAUCUGAAAGCUCUGAAGAAGGAUUAUCACCCUCAAAGAAAAGGGUGAGGCGACCUGUGAACAAAAAAGAUGAUUUGGAUGUCAAAGUAGAAGCUCAUUCUCCACCACCUGAUAUUAAUAUGGAGAAAAAUACUUCAACAGAACAGCUUACUCCACAGAAGAAAAUGUUUUCUCCAACUUCUGAGGAUGCUUUUGAAAAGUUACGUCAGUCUCCUAGCUACCGAUUUUCGGCUGGCAGCCCUAUUAGGGCGCGCACUCCAACUCCCUCCCGUUCGUCCCCAGUUCCGGUCCCAUUGCAAAGUCCACCAUCGUUAUCUAGCUCUUCUAGUGUGAUUUCUAGCUCUACUGUUGUCAAAACACCUACCUCCUCUGUCUUAAGCAUCGUUGGUCACACAUCUGCUACGGCCAAAGCAGCUCCUGUCUUAAAACAGGUCACAACUCCUCAAUCUCCUAAAGCCACUCCAACCUGCCCCUCAUCAUCCAUGAAGCCUUUACCACAAGAGAGCAAACUAUUAGGAAAAAUGAAACCACUCUUACCUCCUCCCCAAAAUGUGUCUGUGCCUUCCCAGCCCCCAGUACUGGCUGUCGCUGUUAAGGUACCCACUGAAAACCGUGUCAUUACCAAAACAGAAGAUUGGCUGAAGAAUAGGCAGCAAGCCCAAGAAAAAUCAGAAUCAAGUAAAACUGAACAAACUCCUGUCAAGCCAGAAAGAGAUGACAGUUUACCACCUUUGGUUCCAACAGCACUUAGUAUACCAGUGACGGGUAGAGUUUCACCUGAACCUCCCCAACUCCUGCCAAUGUCAGUUCCUGCACCCAAACUCAUUCAAGAGCCAUCUAAAUCUGCAACCAAAGAUGUGCAGAUGCCGAUGAUAAAAAAAGAAGGUGUGGCACUUUCUGAUAUUGUUGGUGUAAGCAGCCCUCGUCCUGUUCAACCUGUCACAACGGGACUCAAAUCUCCUGCUGGUGAAGACACACCUGAUGAUCUAUCUGAGGAUGACUCCCUAAAAAAGGCUGGUAGAAGAAAACCUUUACUUAAACGAAAGAAAGCUGUUAGUAAAGAGUUUGUUGAAGACUCUGACUCUGACAGUAGUAGUGAUGAAGAAACACGGUUAGUUAUUGAUAAGACGGAGUCAUCUAGUGACUCUUCUAAUGAAUCAGUUGAAACUAAAUUAACACCUCCUGUAAGAGAGUUUGAGUCAAAGUGGCGAGCAUUACCAAAGGUGGGAGAUUUGCCUAAAGACUCCUGCAAUGUGCAGCAAACUGUUAGUGUAACCAAGAAAGAAGAUACAUCUCGAUCCACGGCAGAAGAGCACCAGCCCUCUGGUGUAUUGGCAGUGGCUGAGGUAGUGGCCGAGUUGGAGGAAGAUGCUGAUGCAGAUGUUGAGACAGAAACUGAGACUGAGGCAGAGGCAGAUAUGGAAACAGAGGUCGAAGCAGACAUGGAAACAGAAGUAGUAACUGAAGAUAUAUCCCCUAUAGUAAAAACUGAAGAUGGGGAGGAACCUGAGGGAGACAACAAUUUGUGUUCUCUUCUCUGUGAAGAAACUAUUCCUGGUUCUCCUGCUCCCCUUUGCGAUACACCCAUAGAUGUUCACACUGAAGCUAGCUCUUCUAGAGCAUCUGAUCGACCUUCAGAAAACACGAAGACUUCUUGCAAGGUUUUAGAAAUGCCUUUUGCCAGUGUACCGGGAAACACCCGUUCGUCUGGACCCAGUACAUCAACGAAUUCAGCAUCAGUCCAGUUUGUGAAUACAUCUGCUGGAGAAAAGGCGGAGAACCUCUCCGACAUGAAUGCUUGUCCUUCAAAGGCAGCUCCGGAUGUAGGUCCCGGUGCUGCCUCUGAGCCCCCUGCUGCUGCUCCUUCUACAGAUGAAGCCACCCCUGUCAUUGACAACACUCCACCCACCACCCCAGACAGCAGCAUGUCUACUUUAUCUAACUCACCAAGAGGGGAGCAUGGAGAUACCCUUUCUAUAUUAGAUAAUGAUAGUAUGAAGUCUCUUAGAGACUCAGAGGAUGCUGAGAACAAAGACAACGAUUUUAGUGAUGAUGAUUUGGAUGUAGGAUCUCGCAUGAAAAAGCUUUCUGAAAAGAAAGAAAAUGAACGUAAAGGUAGAUGUGAUACUGAUUCGGUUUCUAUGAGCCCUGCCUCUCACAAGAAAAGACGACGUAGCCGGAAGGGUUCAGAAAGUGAAGAUAGAAGCAAGAGACCAAGACAUUCAUCUAGUCGCUUGAGAGGACAAGCUACAGCAGGGAGUGACAGUGAUGACAAUAGAGAAACAUUGAUGCCAAUCAUACCUACAUCACAAAGCCAGUCUCAACCGACCAAUCAAUCACUGCAGCUUCCAUCAUCAUCUUUAAUGACUGCAGCUCAGGCACAAUCUGGUCGUUCGCCUCGACCAUCUAAAUACAACUUCUUUGUUGAACUGACCCCAGAACUAGAUGCAUCACAACGCAUAGCUCUUUUGCAAAAUACCUUGCAAGACUUACGUAAAACAUAUGCAAAUGUGAAGCAAGAGUUGGCUUGUAUUGACCGCCGACGGAAGAAAUUAAGGAGACGUGAAAGAGAAGCACGUCUGGAGGCCCGGAAAAUGAUGCGAGAGGAGCGAAGGCAGGCAAGAGAGGAGGUGGUCAACUGUUGAUGAAACCUGGGGAUAUUGAUUCUGAGGCAGAAAAGAUCACUUUAUAUGGCGCAUAGCAUGUUAGAGAAAAAGCAUCAAAACAAGAGAUUUCCUGUGCCUAGCUGGCUUAAUAGAAAUGUUUCUCUCAUUUCUCUCCUGCAUCAUCAUUCAUUAAAUUUGUAAAUACUGUGAUGGGAGUUUCUUCGGUACCAUUUUGUCUGCUUUUGUUUUAUACUUCAUCUUAGUUGUGGUUUGGUGUUGUACGCCAAUACCUUUCAUUUUCCCAUAUCACUUGACAAAGUAUGUAGCUACUGUAAUAUGUAUUUGCAAUAUGAGUUCAGUUAAAAUUUUGUGAAUUUAUUAGACUUAAACUGAUUUUAUAACUGUCUGUGUUUGUACAGUUGGUAUCAGAUUAAUUUUAUUUAUUUGAGUCAAGUACGUAGAGGAUUUUCAAUUAGUCAUUUAAUGAUGUUGCUUUAUGUAGUGUGGCAACAUUCUGGAAGCAUGCAACUUAUGUUAAAUUGUAACUUUCUCAAUUCACUUACCAUAUUUCUUUGAAUUUUCUCCAAUAUGUAGUUUAUUUCAAAAACAAAGCUUUUCAUGAUGAAACUGUUAGCAAUGUCCACUUCAUUGCUAUAAAAGGGGGUCGUUCCCAAUGUUGAAUUGAUAAGAAACCAAGACUGAUUUGUUCUUCCUUUCAUGUACAUUUAAGGUGGAUCUCUUGUGGCACUCUGUUUAACAAAGUCAUAAGAUUUCAAUUUCUUUUAUUGUUUCAAUUCAAGUAAGCAUGCAUUUGGUUGUGACCUCUUUGUAACCAAUUGGAUGUUGUGCCAUUACCUUGUUUAAAGCGCACCAUUUGUUUUGUUUAGCUAAUGCCAUUUUGUACUUUUUUUCUUUCCACUCUGUAAUGUUUGUCACAUAGCACAAUCAUCUUUGUAACAUUUUUAUCUAUUCACUUAUGUAGUGUAAUCAAGUGGUUUUGUCAUUGUGAUUCCAUAGUGUUUAAAUAUGGUACGGUUUUACUUGUUUAUAUUAUUACCCCUUAUUUUGUGUUGAAAUGUAAAAAAUGUUACUGUCUUUUUGUGUUGUGAACUAUGGGCAGUGUAAAUAUUUUCUUAAUGAAUUGAUGACAUGAUCGAUAAUACUUACUAUGUUUUGUAGAUUAAUAGAUUUAAUUAGGACAUGUUUAGACCUGUUAUGUACAUGAACGAAUACAUAAAUAAGGGUUACAAGAUUUUAGUCGCCAAGCGAUUUUAGUGGUAUUUAAGUUUUAAAACUGAUUUCAAUAAAUGAUGCUGAAAAUA